AUUGAACGCUGGCGGCAGGCUUAACACAUGCAAGUCGAGCGGGGUGAUGGUGCUUGCACUAUCACUUAGCGGCGGACGGGCGAGUAAUGCUUAGGAAUCUGCCUAUUAGUGGGGGACAACAUCUCGAAAGGGAUGCUAAUACCGCAUACGUCCUACGGGAGAAAGCAGGGGAUCACUUGUGACCUUGCGCUAAUAGAUGAGCCUAAGUCGGAUUAGCUAGUUGGUGGGGUAAAGGCCUACCAAGGCGACGAUCUGUAGCGGGUCUGAGAGGAGGAUCCGCCACACUGGGACUGAGACACGGCCCGGACGCCUACGGGAGGCAGCAGUGGGGAAGAUUGGACAAUGGGGGGAACCCUGAUCCAGCCAUGCCGCGUGUGUGAAGAAGGACUUAUGGUUGUAAAGCACUUUAAGCGAGGAGGAGGCUCUUUUGGUUAAUACCCAAGAUGAGUGGACGUUACUCGCAGAAUAAGCACCGGCUAACUCUGUGCCAGCCGCCGCCGUAA
RNAcentral lists this ribosomal RNA (503 nucleotides) under uncultured bacterium. Its description in RNAcentral is "partial 16S ribosomal RNA". It matches the Rfam family "Bacterial small subunit ribosomal RNA", at positions 30 to 523 of the family's 1533-position model. The record is from RNAcentral.